AACGAACGCUGGCGGCAUGCCUAACACAUGCAAGUCGAACGAGACCUUCGGGUCUAGUGGCGCACGGGUGCGUAACGCGUGGGAACCUGCCCUUAGGUUCGGAAUAACUCCCCGAAAGGGGUGCUAAUACCGGAUAAUGUCUUCGGACCAAAGAUUUAUCGCCUUUGGAUGGGCCCGCGUUGGAUUAGCUAGUUGGUAGGGUAAAAGCCUACCAAGGCGACGAUCCAUAGCUGGUCUGAGAGGAUGGUCAGCCACACUGGGACUGAGACACGGCCCAGACUCCUACGGGAGGCAGCAGUGGGGAAUAUUGGACAAUGGGCGAAAGCCUGAUCCAGCAAUGCCGCGUGAGUGAUGAAGGCCUUAGGGUUGUAAAGCUCUUUUGCCCGGGAUGAUAAUGACAGUACCGGGAGAAUAAGCUCCGGCUAACUCCGUG
This 433-nucleotide ribosomal RNA is filed under the name uncultured bacterium. RNAcentral's name for it is "partial 16S ribosomal RNA". It matches the Rfam family "Bacterial small subunit ribosomal RNA", at positions 29 to 507 of the family's 1533-position model. The record is from RNAcentral.